ACAACUUGAUUUCAAAGAACCGAAAGCAAUUCUGAGCGCGCCAACGAGCUACCAAAUGAUGUCCAAUAACUCUACAACUCUAAAAAUAUGACAAUAAUGAUGUUUGUGAGCUACUAACAUUGUCAAUUAACAUAAUCUAACUCAUCUUGACCAAAAGUCCCAAAUUUCCUAAUUCUAAUAACCCUAAAUUCGGAUUUAUAUAUACUCAUAAAUAUAGAGAUGACAAAAAUUGGGGAUAUGGCUCAUUAUUGAGUCAAAGAGUUACCUUGAAGCCUCAAUAAUAAUUGGAAAUCAAAGUUGAUUGCUUCUUUCACUCAUUAAGUUGACAUUCCAUGAUUUGGGGUUUUGAGAAAAUGAGAUUUUGAAUAAAUAGAGAUAGAGUAGAAAAAGAAAGAAAGGUAAGAUGAUGAAGAUAAGUUUGAUAAUAGUGUGAAAUUGCAAGAAGAGAUGAGAAGAUGGAAGAGUUGAAUGAGAAGAGAAGAAGAAGAGAAGGUUUUAGGUUUUGUUGGAAGGAAAUAAAAGAAAGUGAAAGAAAGAAAGGGGGACGGGGGACGGGUCUUCGAAGGAGGGGAGGGGAAAUAGGGAAUUUCGAAUUCAUAUAUGGUGAUAAGUGUGAUAGUUAUCUUCGGACUCAAACAAAUACGAAUAUUUGUCGCGCAUAGCGUCCUCUACUUCCCAAGUUGCUUCUUCUACCGAAUGAUUCUUCCAAACAACCUUCACAGACGCUAUCUCUUUAGAACGUAGUUUCUUUACUUGGCGAUCAACUAUAGCCACUGGUUCCUCUUCAAAUGAUAAAUCUUUCUUCAGCUCUAUGGCUUGUGGUGCAAGCACAUGAGAUGAGUCAGGAAGGUAUUUGCGCAACAUUGAUACAUGAAAGACUGGAUGAAUCAUAGACAACUCAGGCGGCAAUGCCAAGCAGUAAGCAACUGCACCUAUUCUGUCCAGUAUCUCAAAUGGACCAAUGUAUCGAGGACUAAGCUUGCCUCUUUUCCCAAACCUCAUCACUCCCUUCAUAAGCGACACUCUAAGAAAUACCUGAUCACCCACUGAAAACUCUAAGUUACGCCUUCUGUUAUCAACAUAGGCCUUCUGCCUACUCUGAGCUGCUAAUAAACGUUCUCUUAUUAUGCGAACCUUCUCAACUGCAUCUUGUACCAAAUUUGGCCCCAAAAGCUUAACCUCACCAACCUCAAACCACCCAACAGGUGACCUGCAUCUUCUCCCAUAAAGAGCCUCAAAAGGUGCCAUUUGAAUGCUGGCUUGAUAACUAUUAUUAUAAGAGAACUCGAUCAAAGGUAGAUAGCUGUCCCAAUUUCCACCAAAAUCUAGAACACAACACCUUAACAUGUCUUCCAAUAUCUGGAUCGUCCUCUCUGAUUAUCCAUCGGUUUGAGGGUGAAAAGCUGUGCUAAGAUCCAGACGAGUUCCUAACGCUUUUUGAAAAGAUUUCCAAAAAUGAGAGGUAAACUGGGGCCUGCGAUCUGAAAUAAUGGACACUGGAAUUCCAUGUAGCUUAACUAUCUCAUCAACAUAAAGUUGAGCAUAUCGAGCUGCACUAAAAGUUGUUUUUACCGGAAGAAAGUGAGCUGACUUUGUCAUUCUAUCCACAAUUACCCAAAUUGAAUCAAAACCUUUAAAGCUACGAGGUAAACCUGUUACAAAAUCCAUCGUAAUCCUUUCCCACUUCCAUUCAGGUAUCUCAAUUUGUUGCAAUAACCCAGCAGGUCUUUGAUGUUCAGCUUUAACCUGUUGGCAAGUUAAGCAAUGAGAAACAAAAACCCCUAUGUCUUUUUUCAUGCCUUCCCACCAAAACAAUUAUUUCAAAUCUUGAUACAUCUUAUUGGAGCCCAAAUGAACGAUAUACUUAGAAUUGUAAGCCUCCUCCAAAAUAGCUUUCUUCAAGUCGUGGUUAUCUGGCACACAUAAGCAUUGACCACAACGCAAGACAUCUUGAUCAAGAGAAAAGUUUGAGUUCCUCCCAUUGCGAACAUCUUCUAUAAGCUUUCUUAGUUUCGGGUCAUCACGUUGUGCAGCCUUGAUCUGUUCUAUUAGGGAAGAUUGGGCUCGAACAUGUGCUAAGAAAACUCCUGAUUCUCCAAGGUCAAAUUGAAUUCCACCGGCCUCCAAUUGAUGGACUUCUUCAACAAUUGGUCUCCUUGCAAGAGUGAUAUGGGCCAAGCUACCCAUAGAUUUUCUACUGAGGGCAUCUGUUACAACAUUUGCCUUUCCAGGAUGAUACAAAAUAGUACAAUCGUAAUCUUUUAGCAACUCCAUCCAUCUCCGUUGUCUCAAAUUUAAAUCCUUCUGUUGAAAUAUAUACUUCAAACUCUUGUGAUCCGUGUAGAUCUCACAAGUCUCACCAUAAAGGUAGUGUCUCCAAAUCUUCAAAGCAAAAAUGACUGCUGCCAUUUUCAGGUCAUGAGUUGGAUAAUUCUGCUCAUGCUUCUUGAGUUGUCGUGAGGCAUAGGCAAUAACGCGGCCAUGCUGCAUCAAUACACAACCCAGUCCUAUCCGAGAUGCGUCACAAAAGACUGAGAAUCCCCCAGACCCAGAAGGUAAAACAAGAACUGGUGCUGAGGUUAGACAAGCCUUAAGUGUCUGGAAACUUUCCUCACAAGCUUCUGACCAUUGAAACUUCACAUUUUUCUGAGUUAACUUGGUUAAUGGUGCCGAAAUUCUGGAGAAGUCCUUGAUGAAUCGCCAAUAGUAACCGGCCAAUCCUAGAAAGCUACGAAUUUCCGUCACUGCAGUAGGCCUUGGCCACUUCUGAACGGCUUCCACUUUCUUUGGAUCCACCAUGAUUCCAUCUUUUGAUACCACAUGUCCCAAAAAUGUCACUUGAUCAAGCCAAAACUCACAUUUAGAAAACUUAGCAUAAAGCUUGUGAUCCCUUAAGGUUUGUAACACAAUCCUCAAAUGAUACUCAUGCUCCGUAUCAUUUUUCGAAUACACCAAGAUAUCAUCGAUGAAGACGAUAACAAAGCGAUCUUAGAACAGGAGCUCCCCACAGAGAAGUGCUAGGACGAAUGAAUCCUUUCUCUAGCAUAUCUUCCAAUUGAACUUUCAAUUCUCGUAACUCAGUUGGAGCCAUACGAUAGGGAGGAAUGGACACAAGUUGGAUUCCCGGAGCUAAUUCUAUGGAAAACUCAACUUCGCGGUCAGGUGGCAUCCCUGGUAGCUCAUUAGGGAACACGUCAGGAAAUUCUCUAACUAUAGGAACCUGAUCAAGACUAGGCACUUCGGCAUCAGCAUCUCUAAUAGCUGCCAGAAAUCCUUGGUUCCCCUUAUCCAUCAAUUGCAUAGCACUCAUAGAUGAGAUGAUGCUAGCUAAAGUGGGACAGUCAUCACCCUUAAAAAUAAAAGGUGAGAUACCCGGUAUGUCAAACUUCACAGUUUUGGAGUAACAGCCCACAUCAGCAUGACAAGCUGCUAACCAAUCCAUGCCUAAGAUGACAUCAAUAUCUUCCAUUGGUUCUAAAAGGAUCAAAUCAGCUAAGGUCUCAACCGUAUUAAUUCUAACAACACAAGACCGAAACACGACUCGAACCACCGUGGAGACUCCAAGUGGAGUGCCAACAUGAAAUGGGUGGGAUAACAGUUCAGGUUGUUUAUCGAAACGAGAUGCAAGAUGUGGAGAUACAUAUGAAUAAUGAGAACCCGUAUCAAAUAACACUCGAGCAUCUAAAGAACAAACUUGUAAAGUACCUGCCACCACAGCAUUAGAAGCUUGAGCAUCUUGACGUGUCAAAGCAUACACACGUGCCUGACCUCUUCCUCUUUGGCUCCCUCCUCUGUUAUAAGCUUGACCCCUGCCACCAGCUCCUCUGCCACUAGGACCAGAAGAAUUUCCAAUAGACAUAGCUGAAGAUGAUGGCAUUGGUGUUGUAGGACGUGCAAUACCUGGAGCAAAGCCUCCUCUAGGAUUUGGACAAUCCCUCCUAAGAUGACCAGAUUGACCACAACCAAAACAUGCACCAAUAGCCUUGAAAUAUAUACCGGAAUGGUAGAUCCCACACUACUGGCAGUAAGAUUUAGUUGGUCUUGUCUGAUUAGAACCAUGUCCGCUAGAUUGAGGGGUGCCCCCAACAAAAGGUCUUGGACUUGUAACACUCAUAGGAACAGAUCCAGAAGAAGCAACCCCACCGAAAGAUGUUUGAGGACGAGCUCGAUACCCCGAAUAACCUUGCUGAUUAGUCUGACCAUGAUGAGACUGAAAUCCUCCUGAACUAGCUCCACCAAAAAAUUGUCCCUUCAUCUUAGGCUUCUUACCAACAUCCUUAAAAGCAUUUCUCUCUGCUAUCCCAGCUUCAAUUUCAUAAGCAGAGUUUAGGACAUCCUUAAAAGACAUGCGUCCGACUUCAGACAUAAGAGUAGUGAACAUAGGUUCUGCCAAUCCACGAACGAAACGACGAACUUUCAUCUCUUCUGAAUUCACCAAGUACGGAGCACUCUUAGAAAGUCUAGUAAACUCCUUAGCAUACUCAGUCACUGUCAUGUUUUCUUGCCUUAAUCUUUCAAAGGCAAUUGCAUCUUCUGCUUGCUUGUUAGCUGGAUAAAAUCGAGCGAGGAACUCUUCAGUGAACUCUUCCCAAGAAGGAGGAGGAAGUCCGGUUGCUUCUUUGCUCUCAAGAAGAGACUCAUACCAAUAUCUUGCCGAACCACGCAAGUUGUAGGAUACUAACUCAACAGCCCAUUCCUUGGUGCACUUGAGAGCCCGAAUAGCUUUCUUUGCGUCCUCUAGAUAUUGUUGUGGAUCUUCAUUCAAUGAAUAUCCAUUGAAAGUGGACGAAUUCAACUUUAAAUACUUCUCAAUUGGUGGCUCUUGAUCUCCAAACAAUUGAUGAACUCUAUGAGGCUGAGGAUUUGGCAUACUAGGAAUGCCUGCUCCGCCCCUAUUUUGAUUUGGUAGGGCCUGUAAUACCGCAUUAAGGGUUUGAUUCAUUCCCCUUAAUUCAAUCGCUAAGUCCGGUUGAGCCUCUCUUACUGCGGGGUUCUCUCCUUCGCGCCUAUUAGCUAUCCUUUGGCUCCUUGGUCUUUGUCGAAGUGCUCCAAGUGGCGGAGAAGCUGCCCUAUUGGAUUCAGCAGUAUCAGGAGCAUUAACAGCUCCACCACGUCUUUUCUUAGGUGGCAUCUUCUACCUAUCGAGUAAGUAAACCGAUUGAAUCACCAACGACAUGUAUAUGGAGUUCAAAGAGAAUAGGAUAGACAGAAAGAAUCAUGAGAACAAAGGAUUGAUGACAACUUCCUAUAGGCCUCUAGUAACAUCACACUUUGUGAAAAUAGGCCGGCUUCCAUUUGCACAAUUGUGAUCUUACUAGAGAACACUUGCUCCAUAUUACACAGGAAAACCUAAGGCUCUGAUACUAUUUUGUCAUGACCCGAAUCCAGCCAUGACUGGCGCUCAAGGGACAAGUCCCUCGGCAAGCCAAACGACCAAAUUUUCAGAAAAAUGGACAGAAUCUCCUCUGUUUCUAGGACCUUACCCACAUACAUAUUAACUCCCUGUAUCAACAAUAAACAUCCAUUUCCAAAGACAACAACAACAACAUACUCCAAUCAUAUCCACAACCAAAUAUAUCCAGAAUACGCAUCAUAUAUAUAUAUCAAGUUGAUAACUAGAGUAUAUAGUUAAAACCAUAAGUCCCAGAUGCAUCUAGGUUAACGUCAUAACCGCCGUUAACUACGGUUUUCUAGUCAGAGUCUCCCAAAUCAAUCCAAACCAAAUCAUUUAUAACAAAUCUCUAAUAAUUAUAACAUAUUACUAAAUUUUCAUAUUAAGUCAAAAAUAUAUAUAAGAAUGCAUACUAAAAUUUAAUUAAAAUUUAAUAAAGUCAAAUAAAAAAACAUGUAUGCUUUACAAAAUAUAUAAAUAUCGUCUCGUGUGUAUUUUUAUAAAAUUGUGAGUUUCACGAAUCAUUAUUUAUUUCAAAAAUUCAAAAAUCACAAUAGUAAAAUAUUUUCAAACUCCAAAAUUAAUGAUUCAACAUAGAUAUUGAUAAUAAUAUAUUUAAAAACAAUUAUAGAUAUAAUAUCCACUCACAACUUGAUUCCAAAGAACCGGAAGCAACUCUGAGUGCGUCAACGAGCUACCAAAUGAUGUCCAAUAACUCUACAACUCUAAAAAUAUGACAAUAAUGAUGUUUGUGAGCUACUAACAUUGUCAAUUAACAUAAUCUAACUCAUCUUGACCAAAAGUCCCAAAUUUCUUAAUUCUAAUAACCCUAAAUUUGGAUUUAUAUAUACCCAUAAAUAUAGAGAUGACAAAAAUUGGGGACAUGGCUAAUUAUUGAGUCAAAGAGUUACCUUGAAGCCUCAAUAAUAAUUGGAACUCAAAGUUGAAUGCUUCUUUCACUCAUUAAGUUGACAUUCCAUGAUUUGGGGUUUUGAGAAAAUGAGAUUUUGAAUAAAUAGAGAUAGAGUAGAAAAAGAAA
RNAcentral lists this long non-coding RNA (6431 nucleotides) under Arachis ipaensis. RNAcentral describes it as "long non-coding RNA (AIPA_LNC000360)". The record is from RNAcentral. Lineage: Eukaryota; Viridiplantae; Streptophyta; Magnoliopsida; Fabales; Fabaceae.